UGGAAUCUACUUUAGAGAAAAGGGGGUGGGCACCAACAGUGUCUCUCACAGCUCCACAAGCACAAUCUCCUCCAAUUGGAAUUUGAGUGUAUGCUGUCAUUGUGCUUAGAAACCAUUUCUGUGUUAAGUUAGACAACUGUCUUUGUUAGCUGACUUUCUCCUUGGUUGGAUGGAUCCACUUGGCUGCUGCCAUCUGCUUCACCAGCUCUUUCUCCAUGAACUGAUAGAGGGCGUGGCAUAUGUUACAGCAUGGUAAAAUCACCCACGACACCAAGUUUAAUUCUCCAUUUAAAGUGGAGGUAGCUUAUCUCUUAGGCUACAGUUCAUAAAA
Molecule: long non-coding RNA, 331 nt
Filed under: Bos taurus (domestic cattle)
Lineage: Eukaryota; Metazoa; Chordata; Mammalia; Artiodactyla; Bovidae
Description: long non-coding RNA NONBTAT015026
Source: RNAcentral